AUUGACUGAAAAAUGAUAAAAUACCAAACUUUAAUGAAAUGUUAGUAGUUGAGGCUCUAACAUAUGUCGUUCCAGUCCCGUUGUAGUCCGUAGCUAUGUUCACCAGUUUUUCUUAGAUUUGAUGCUACAGUAUCUCCUAUCAAGGGAUGGUCCUGUUGGGGAAGUUUGGCUCUAGAUCAGAAGAGACAGAUAUUUGAAGAUACAGCAUAUCCAUUUUCACUUCUUGUCUAAAAGGCCUAGAAUGCAGAGUAUUAGACUGUAACAUUAAUUCUUAAGUUUGAAGUUGAUCUGUUUUGUGUCCCAUGGUUUUUUUUUUUUUUUUUUCCAUCCUUUCAUCUGCUCUCCCUGUUUUUACCAUGGAACCAGUUACACCAAACCACAGCCACGAGUAUGACGUUGCUGGGUAUUUAAUACUUGUCCACAUCAGCAAGUGCUACUUUCUGUCCUCUGUGACCAGCAACAAUACUGACAGCAAGUGGCAGCCUUUUAUAUGAAACUUCUCAUGGCAUUUGCUGAAAUUUCAAGGGACUGUUCUACAACCUACUAGAGUAAGAGAUACUUGGCCUUCAUUAUGAGCUGUUUAGUUUGUUUGCAUUGUUUAGUAUUUUUACUAAAUGUUUCAAAUACUGUAGCUCAGUGUUGUGCUGCAUUCAGAAGCAAGAGUAUCAGUGAUGUCUGUGGGACGUUUUCUGCAUAAGGGGCCAAAGAGAGGUGCGCCUCAAAGGAGAAUAUGUUUUGAUCUUCACAGUAUUGAAGUAUGUUAAUACCCAAACUUUCAAAAGCUUUGAGAUCAAUGUGACCAAUUACAUGCAUCGUUAAGUCAUACCCAUCUUGUACAGUGCCUUGCGCUUGUGCUUUUUAGUCACAGUGAACUGUCCUUUCUAUAUUGCAAUCAUGGUUACUUUUCCCUCAGAAGCAGUUAAAUACCAGUACUUCAGUAAAGCAGAGCAAAACAGUCAAAAUUUUAUACUGUAGUCAAAAGCCACUCUUUGGCAUAGGUUUUCUUACUACGUUUAUAAAACAGUUCCUACAGAAUACCAAAAAGUUGCUCAUAAAUACUGUAUUUCUAUGUUUCUUAGCAGUUACGUAGCUCAGCCCUCUACCACCCUUCUGCUAGAAAAGUCUCAUGAGGAAGUAAUGGAAGGAGACAGUAAGUUGAAUGACUGAUGAGUCAGUUCAAGUUUUAUGUUUUAUUUCCUGAUUUGUAAUCAUUGUGCAUAAGCAAUGCUUAUUUCACUGUGUAGUACAGUAUAUGCGUGAGUUCAAUGUCUUUUUAUGCAUUUCGCCCUACAGUAUGUUUAAAGCAGUGCAUGUUAAGGAUUUCUGUAUUAUAAAAUGGGGUUUUAUUUUGUCUCUCUGGUCAAUUUUUAUAAUUCAUGUUUCUGUUUCAAGUUGUAGGUAGCAUAUUUACAUAUGCUCGCUUACCUGACUUCUUGUUAGAUGGCUUUUGCGCUUAUUUUACAUUUUUCUUUUCUAAAUGCACUUAAAGCAGCCUGUGGCAGGAAAGUGAAGAUGACGUUUUUUCCAAAUGAUUAUUGUUAGUGCUAAGCGAAUAGGACCAGUUUACAUAAGGACAGUUAUGUGCAGAAAUUGGUUCGGAGGCGAUAAUACCUGUGAUAAGAGAAUUUAAGGAGUGUCUCUGUCUCAGUAUUACAUGUGUUUAAGUGCUUUCUAGUCACAUCUUUAUAAAAAGGACUGACAUUGUGCAAGCAGCCAUAGGCUGGCUGUGGUUUGGCCACUGGCUGUUUGCACUGCUGUAGACAGACAGACAGACACACACACACACACACACACACACGCACGCACGCACACUCUGUACAAGUUGGCUCUUCAGGAGUUCGACUCAGUUAAAGACUUGCAGUUAUCCAGUUGAGUGUUAAGUAAAAAGGUAAUCUUGAGGAAAUGCAUGAACCUCACGUCUGUAAUCGUUCCACUGCAGCUUUUAUAGAGGCCAUAGACAUUUUUCUGUCUUGAGUUCCAUUUCUCAAAAGCUUCAUUGAUACAUAUACAUCAUCUUCUUUUCAUAGAGACUUUGGUAACCCUGCCUGCACUAUUAACAGCGUCAUCUUCUACAGUGUCACAUAUGUGAAGAGAUCCAAAGCGAGGGUGAGGUUUAGCUUAACACAUAUUUUCAAAUAACUUAAUUUGUAUAGAUGGUCAGAAAUAUUUUUGUUUAAACACUGCUUAAUUCAUUCAUCUUAGUCAAGAGGAAACCUUGUGUAUCGAGUCUGAGACUGUUUUUCAGAAGCUACCCUGAAGGAUUUUGAGGCCUUUUUGUCACUAAACUAGAUAGAAAUUAUGCAUCCAUAUUCUCGAAGAUACCCCAGCUUGUGUUGUUUCUUAGAGCUGUGAAACACUUCAAGAAGAAUCCAUAUAAUCAUGGAGAUCCUUGGUUUUUGUCAGCAUUAAAAAUGACUGCAGUGAGCACUUUCAGUAGGUAUACACAUUUAAUUAAAAAAGGUAGGUUAUUUCGCGGUAGACUGGCAUGAUUGUUGUAGAGGUUUCCUUUGCUUCACAUAAUGAUAUAGGAUUUUUUUCUAAGAAAAAGGCUGAAAUAAAUGCAGGUAUUUCCAUCGUAACGGAUCUUGUCCCAGGUCUCUAUUAUACUCUUGCAUUUGAACUGGGAAAUACAUAAUUCAUUAUGAUAGCAAGAUUUGGGGGUUGAUUUGUUUUUGGCUGGAGCCAUACCUGUCAUACAGACUCUUAGGAAGUUGACCAAGAGCAGCAGUGCAGCCAGGUGCUGAGAUGCAUAAUGCAUUUUUGCAGCUUGGAGCUUAGUGACUAUUUCUGGAGCAUUUUAGUUAUAUGCUUAAGUAAUUAUUUUUGCAUUUUGGAGUUGAGGUACCUUGUCUUCUACAGGAUUUCUGACCUCUUUCAGGAGGGCAGGAAACCUCCACAAUGGAACUGUCAGGGUCCCUGGGACCCUUGGGAGGCUGGUUCUCGUGGCUAGAUCAGCACAGCUCUGAUACUUUACAAAAUGCUACUUCUCUGUACAUGGAAGGACCAGUUUUCCAAAAAGCAGCAGACCAGCCAUCUCUGACUCAAAAAUACUAUGCUGUUAAAAUAACAUAAUUACUUAAUGAGCUAAUUAUUUGCAUUUUUCUUCUUUUUUAAUAUGAAGUUUUUGGGGAACUGUAUUUGUGCCAAAAGGUACUGAACAGAAGCCAUCUUUAUCAGCAUUCCUAAUCAUUAAAUAGCAAUAAUGCAAUAGAACAAACCUGCUGUUUCCUGUGUUUGUAUUUUGCACUUAAAUCUUGGAUUAAGAAGCCACACUUGUCUAUAUAUCAUUAGUUACACUGAAUUUUCAUAAUUCAUUUCACUUUGGCACUUACAUGCUUUUGCAGUUUGUUUUAGGUGUUACUCUGGUGUGCAUUAGCGUACUAUUUGAAUGCCUGUAGUGACUUUGAGGUUCCAUUACAGGAGGGGAAUUUCUGAAUUGCCCCAAAGUAUUGUUUUGAUCUUUUGAUGACAUUAAAACAUUUAUUUUCAUAUGAAAUUGCUUUUACCCUUAUAAAGAAGAUUUAUGUAUCACCAAGAUUCCACUUACCUCCUCAUAUUAGGACUAUUAAUUUUAGAAGUAAUUAUUAUGCAGAUCUCUUUUGUGGGGCUACCUGCAUAACUGAAUUUCACUCAUUAGAUUUUGAUGAAAGCAUUCUUUUAAAUUCAGAUCUAACCUUCCCUUUAAUCUUAACAUAAUACAAAGCAAUGUUAUGUUACAGAAACACGCCCCAAGGUACCAAUAUAUGCAGUGUCCUUUCCUUCCAGGUGUUUUCUGUUUUUUCGCAGAGCUGUGUUUAGCAGAGGAAGAAACGCAUGUAACAAGAUCAACAGUGCAGUCACUAUAAAUAAACUCUCUUUCCAGUGAUGUUAGCACUAUAUUGCAUGGCCAUCAUGUGAUGGAUGUUACCUCAUUAUGGAGGAAACAUUCCUCUAUAGGAGCAGCCUAAGAGAUUUCAUUUGGGUGUUUCUGCACCUUCUGCAUAACAGUUGCCAUUUCUGAAAUAAUCUCCAACAGACUUCGACAUAAUCAACUAAGUAGGAAUAGGUAUCUUUCUUUACUGAAUAAAGCUGGCAGGCGCUUCAGCAUACCAGCUAAUUUUAAAAGAGCUAAUGUCUGCUACAAUGAAUAUAGUCCUAUAAAUUUAUGAAUCUAUUAGGAAAGUGCAUUACUAAUAUAGUGACUCUGCAGAUCCAAAAUACAUGCAGUUCAAGCAGCAGUCUUGCAAGGGAAAAAUCCCAAAUUGUAAAUAUGGGGAUAUCUACUGCUGCGCUUACAUUGCAAUUACCCAUGUGGGUAACCAGUUACCUGUCAGUCAUUGAAACUGCUUAUCUACAUUUCACCCAUUAUGACUAAACCUUAUUGAAUAUGGGCCAUUAAAACUUAUGAGCAGCAGUGGUUUCCUGUCUCACUUUUUAGGGACUUUCUUUUUAAGAUUUUUUUCUUAAACAGGACAAGUGGUUUCAGAAAGUGAGCAAAAAAAGGCUAUACCUUACCUUGUUGAUCAUGGAGAAAUUUGUACCUUAGGAGGACUUCAUGUGCAUGGAACCUAUGUUCAGAUUUGGAAAGAAUAUUCCCUAACAAAGAGAGAAGAGGAUCCAGGACCUUCUUUUUUUCCGUUCAAAAACUACCGAAAACUACUAAAUAAAUUACGUCUGUUUCUCAAAAUAAACACUUUUUGCUACCUGC
This is a non-coding RNA of Struthio camelus australis, 4687 nucleotides long. NCBI's taxonomy places the organism in Eukaryota, Metazoa, Chordata, Aves, Struthioniformes, Struthionidae. The record is from RefSeq and is a predicted model, not a curated record.